RNAcentral lists this unclassified non-coding RNA (346 nucleotides) under soil metagenome. Its description in RNAcentral is "partial contains 5.8S ribosomal RNA, internal transcribed spacer 2, and large subunit ribosomal RNA". The stretch from base 1 to 120 matches the Rfam family "5.8S ribosomal RNA", at positions 35 to 154 of the family's 154-position model. The record is from RNAcentral.
GAUGAAGAACUUAGCAAAAUGCGAUAAGUAAUGUGAAUUGCAGAAUUCAGUGAAUCAUCGAAUCUUUGAACGCACAUUGCGCCCGCUGGUAUUCCGGCGGGCAUGCCUGUUCGAGCGUCAUUUCAACCCUCAAGCCCCCGGGUUUGGUGUUGGGGAUCGGCUCUGCCUUCUGGCGGUGCCGCCCCCGAAAUACAUUGGCGGUCUCGCUGCAGCCUCCAUUGCGUAGUAGCUAACACCUCGCAACUGGAACGCGGCGCGGCCAUGCCGUAAAACCCCAACUUCUGAAUGUUGACCUCGGAUCAGGUAGGAAUACCCGCUGAACUUAAGCAUAUCGAUAAGCGGAGGA